Long non-coding RNA from Cydia fagiglandana, 376 nucleotides. RefSeq lists it as uncharacterized. NCBI's taxonomy places the organism in Eukaryota, Metazoa, Arthropoda, Insecta, Lepidoptera, Tortricidae. The record is from RefSeq and is a predicted model, not a curated record. The transcript is spliced from 3 exons.
UGAUUUUCGUUUAACCAAAAUAUCGAAGAAGGCAACACAAUUCUAUGAUCGCGUAGUCGAAAAAAUGCAUCAUAAACGGAGCGAGUUCCUCACAGCUAUUAGGCGUUGGGAGAAAUAGGUAAAAGAAGUGUGCACUCUGUCAGUCCGAUAGUCAUGAAAAGUCUGAAGAAGUCACCGGUAUAUGCAGUCAUUGCAUAAGCAGUUUGCUCAAUAUUGGCUUUGAGCAUAACAAUUUGGCCUCCAGGUUUCUUGCUGAAUUCCUGCUGGGACUUGGAGUGUACAGAGUCAGUUACACUUCUCUGACCAAUAUUCACAGCUGCUCGCAGGUCACAGGUUUUCUUCCAAAGCCUGGAGUUAUUCAAAAGCAACAGUGGCU